This is a long non-coding RNA of Prinia subflava (tawny-flanked prinia), 1862 nucleotides long. RefSeq lists it as uncharacterized. NCBI's taxonomy places the organism in Eukaryota, Metazoa, Chordata, Aves, Passeriformes, Cisticolidae. The transcript is spliced from 4 exons. The record is from RefSeq and is a predicted model, not a curated record.
CUUGGGGCUGAGAGAAGGCCGCGGAUCCCCGGCCUCGCGUGAGAGGCCUGGCCGGGCCGGAGGGCGCGCGGGCCGCCGGCGGCAGGACAAAGGCCUCGCGGGAGGACCCGGCAGCCAGGACCAAAUUCCCAGGGAAAGCCUCCUGGGGAAUCCACUGCAGCCAGGAAUGUUUUCCAAGACAUCCCUUGAUGCACUGCUGAGUUCCAAGCCUGACAGAGACCCAUGGCCAUAGCCCUGGGCUCUACUGGGUCAGGCUGGAACAGGAGGUGGUGACAUCCAAUAAGGAACAGAUAAACUGAGGUUGCAGCAUCCUCCUCCCAUGAAUCCCCCUCUCCUGCCCUGCAUUCCUCUGAAAUAAUUGGGGUUUCUCUUCUCACUUUCAAAUUCAGGAUUGGGGCACAUCCCCUUCACCACAUUCUGGAAAGGCAGCCCUUGUGUUUUGCAGUCCAAGAGUUCUGCUAGCUCAGCUCUGUUCCUGGAUGUCCAGCAGCUCAUUCUCUGCUGUAGUCAUAUCCUUCCUGAUGCUCCUCUGCAGCACACUCAGCUAUGGUCCUCUUUACCUUUAUCCUCUGAAAAGCAGCUCAGAAACACUUCCAGCUGCAGUUUCCUUUCCAAGAAGCCAAAACUGCACCUCACACAGGCCAUGGCACCUUUGUGCCAGAGAAGGAAGGAAUCAACAAGUUGCAACUGUAUUUCUGGCUGUAAGCAGGAAUUUCAGACCAUCCUUUAAGGAGCCCACUUGCUGUUAGCAGAGUACAGGACACAGCUCUGAAUGGGUAUGCACAGCACAGCCCAGCCUGGUACAACACUUCCAACUGUGCUGUGCCAGCACAUGUGAGAUUGGGCUCCCUGGAACAGCAAAGGUCUCUCAGAGUUACGGAGCAAUUUCUGUGUGUUUCACAUUCUGGACCAGCAAGAGAAGAGACUACUUGGACCCUGAAGAAUUCUCAUGCAAGAAAACUCCUCGUUCCAGCCCACACCUGCGUAACACAUAAAAUGACUCUGUUUUCCCUUCCUUCUAUUAUCUUUUAAGAGCCCCUGAGCUCUGGUCCUUUCAGAGGAGCUGGUUAUGAGCAACAAAGUAUGUAGAUAGCUGACCAAACAUUAUCUCAUCCAUGGGGACAAGCCAGCUUUCCUCUGCCAUCAGCUCUGCCAGAUCACUCCUGUGCACUUCCUGCUCACCAGCUCUGCCAUCAACCAGUGUUAAUACCUCCAUUUACAUUGCUGUGGUAGCUCUCCUCUUCUUGUCUCAGCCUCCUUGGAUGUCAGUAAUAUCCCUAGUACAGAGUACUUGUAUCAUCUUUUGAAGAACGACUCAGCUGCCACAGCCAUUUCCUUUGUCACUGGAUUUGACUAGAGCUUGGAGCUCCUCUCCACAUGCAGAGCAUGCUCAGCAGAACAGCAGCAAGCCCUACCUUCCCACCAUAGCCUCUCUGCUGACCCACAGGUUAGAUUAGACCAAAAUUGGGAAAGAUUUUAUAGAGAUUUUAAUAGAGUACAUAACAUGUUCCUUUGGCCUUCAAUUUUGAAAAGAUAAAAUCAGAAGUCAAGAUUCAUGUUUUUAAUAUGUUUUUGGUGACUUUUCUUUGCCUCUGCUUUCCCAGCUUGUGGAAUACACUAACUGCAUUUUCCCAAGCAUUUCUGUACUGCCUCAGGGUCUGGAAAUCUACUGAUAAAAGGUACACAAAAGAAGAGCUGAGAUUCCUCAAUGAUAUUGGGACACAGGCAGCUGGGGACUGGAAAAAAACAACAAAUAGCCUGAACCUUUAAAACAUAAAAGUUGGCAUGAGUGAUCUCAAAUCCAAACAUUUUAUAGCACUGGGAAAAACAAACAAACAAACAACAACAAACAAACAAACAAC